CAGUAGCCGCGGGAAUACGUAGGGUGCAAGCGUUAAUCGGAAUUACUGGGCGUAAAGCGCACGCAGGCGGUCUGUCAAGUCGGAUGUGAAAUCCCCGGGCUCAACCUGGGAACUGCAUUCGAAACUGGCAGGCUAGAGUCUUGUAGAGGGGGGUAGAAUUCCAGGUGUAGCGGUGAAAUGCGUAGAGAUCUGGAGGAAUACCGGUGGCGAAGGCGGCCCCCUGGACAAAGACUGACGCUCAGGUGCGAAAGCGUGGGGAGCAAACAGGAUUAGAUACCCGCGUAGUCCCUGUCUCUUAUAC
Molecule: ribosomal RNA, 301 nt
Filed under: uncultured bacterium
Lineage: Bacteria
Description: partial 16S ribosomal RNA
Rfam family: Bacterial small subunit ribosomal RNA
Source: RNAcentral